GAAAAACUUUACACCUUCUUCAACAUUUAUUUUGUUUUAAGGAAAAAUCAAAUAAAAACGUUCUUCAACAUCUCCUUUUCUUUAAUUACACUAAAAGAAUUGUACUGCACCUUCUCAGAUUUCUUUUUUAUUUUACCCUCUUCAUGAAGAUAGUUAACUAUCUGUUUACCCUCUUCAUGAAGAUAUUUUACCCUCUAUAUUUUGGCAGCCAUUAAAAAUCACAUUCUCUGUUUAUAAUCCUUCCGAGUUCUCCAAAUUGAGCGAGAAUAUGGCGAAGUCUAACGUGAUCCAUAUGUGGUGGGAUACGACUUAAGUAGCCAUGGUUUUGCCAGCAUUUUGAAAUACAGAUAACAAAUCUCUAACGUGAAUGCCUAUUUUCCUUUCUAAAAUGCAGUAUCCAUCAUUGCGAGUUGGUCAAAAUAGCCAGUUUCCUAUGUCAGGAAUUGGUCAGAAUGCUCAGGUAUAAAUCUCAUUUUGGAUUAACAAUUUCCCAUACCUUCUGAUUACCUUUGAAUUUAAUCACAGAACAUAAUGAGUUCAUGAAUUUAAUGUCAUUUUAAAAAGAAACAUCAGUGAUUACGUAAUGAUUACGUAAAAUCAGAGUCCUACGUAGGUGGACUUCUUUAAUUUUUAUAUAGAUAUCAUUCAAUAAGGCUUUUAUUUUUAGUUAAUCAUUCUACAAUUCCUAGUGAGUAAGAAAAAGAAGCUAGUGUCGUCGGCGAACAACUGGUACUCUCCGUUGGGAAGAAGAAGAAGACGGUGGUGUGUAAAAGAAGAAUGUUUGUCUCUUUCUUCUUUUUAUAAUUAUGUAACAGAGCAUGUGUUUGAUUACCAGCUUGUGUCAAAAUCAUAAUUCCAUAUCAUCACACGUUUUUUAAUUAACAAAGCAA
RNA transcript from Arabidopsis thaliana (thale cress), 890 nucleotides. RefSeq lists it as uncharacterized. NCBI's taxonomy places the organism in Eukaryota, Viridiplantae, Streptophyta, Magnoliopsida, Brassicales, Brassicaceae. The record is from RefSeq. The transcript has 2 exons.